Molecule: ribosomal RNA, 2545 nt
Filed under: Klebsiella pneumoniae
Lineage: Bacteria; Pseudomonadati; Pseudomonadota; Gammaproteobacteria; Enterobacterales; Enterobacteriaceae
Description: partial 23S ribosomal RNA
Rfam family: Bacterial large subunit ribosomal RNA
Source: RNAcentral
UGUGAACUCGAAGAGUAGGGCGGGACACGUGGUAUCCUGUCUGAAUAUGGGGGGACCAUCCUCCAAGGCUAAAUACUCCUGACUGACCGAUAGUGAACCAGUACCGUGAGGGAAAGGCGAAAAGAACCCCGGCGAGGGGAGUGAAAAAGAACCUGAAACCGUGUACGUACAAGCAGUGGGAGCACCUUCGGGUGUGACUGCGUACCUUUUGUAUAAUGGGUCAGCGACUUAUAUUCUGUAGCAAGGUUAACCGUAUAGGGGAGCCGCAGGGAAACCGAGUCUUAACUGGGCGUUAAGUUGCAGGGUAUAGACCCGAAACCCGGUGAUCUAGCCAUGGGCAGGUUGAAGGUUGGGUAACACUAACUGGAGGACCGAACCGACUAAUGUUGAAAAAUUAGCGGAUGACUUGUGGCUGGGGGUGAAAGGCCAAUCAAACCGGGAGAUAGCUGGUUCUCCCCGAAAGCUAUUUAGGUAGCGCCUCGUGAACUCAUCUUCGGGGGUAGAGCACUGUUUCGGCUAGGGGGUCAUCCCGACUUACCAACCCGAUGCAAACUACGAAUACCGAAGAAUGUUAUCACGGGAGACACACGGCGGGUGCUAACGUCCGUCGUGAAGAGGGAAACAACCCAGACCGCCAGCUAAGGUCCCAAAGUCAUGGUUAAGUGGGAAACGAUGUGGGAAGGCACAGACAGCCAGGAUGUUGGCUUAGAAGCAGCCAUCAUUUAAAGAAAGCGUAAUAGCUCACUGGUCGAGUCGGCCUGCGCGGAAGAUGUAACGGGGCUAAACCAUGCACCGAAGCUGCGGCAGCGACACUAUGUGUUGUUGGGUAGGGGAGCGUUCUGUAAGCCUGCGAAGGUGUGCUGUGAGGCAUGCUGGAGGUAUCAGAAGUGCGAAUGCUGACAUAAGUAACGAUAAAGCGGGUGAAAAGCCCGCUCGCCGGAAGACCAAGGGUUCCUGUCCAACGUUAAUCGGGGCAGGGUGAGUCGACCCCUAAGGCGAGGCCGAAAGGCGUAGUCGAUGGGAAACAGGUUAAUAUUCCUGUACUUGGUGUUACUGCGAAGGGGGGACGGAGAAGGCUAUGUUAGCCGGGCGACGGUUGUCCCGGUUUAAGCAUGUAGGCUGGUUAUCCAGGCAAAUCCGGAUAAUCAAGGCUGAGGUGUGAUGACGAGGCACUACGGUGCUGAAGUAACAAAUGCCCUGCUUCCAGGAAAAGCCUCUAAGCAUCAGGUAACAUCAAAUCGUACCCCAAACCGACACAGGUGGUCAGGUAGAGAAUACCAAGGCGCUUGAGAGAACUCGGGUGAAGGAACUAGGCAAAAUGGUGCCGUAACUUCGGGAGAAGGCACGCUGGUGUGUAGGUGAAGUCCCUGCGGAUGGAGCUGAGACCAGUCGAAGAUACCAGCUGGCUGCAACUGUUUAUUAAAAACACAGCACUGUGCAAACACGAAAGUGGACGUAUACGGUGUGACGCCUGCCCGGUGCCGGAAGGUUAAUUGAUGGGGUUAUCCGUAAGGAGAAGCUCUUGAUCGAAGCCCCGGUAAACGGCGGCCGUAACUAUAACGGUCCUAAGGUAGCGAAAUUCCUUGUCGGGUAAGUUCCGACCUGCACGAAUGGCGUAAUGAUGGCCAGGCUGUCUCCACCCGAGACUCAGUGAAAUUGAACUCGCUGUGAAGAUGCAGUGUACCCGCGGCAAGACGGAAAGACCCCGUGAACCUUUACUAUAGCUUGACACUGAACAUUGAGCCUUGAUGUGUAGGAUAGGUGGGAGGCUUUGAAGCGUGGACGCCAGUCUGCGUGGAGCCAACCUUGAAAUACCACCCUUUAAUGUUUGAUGUUCUAACGUUGGCCCCUGACCGGGGUUGCGGACAGUGUCUGGUGGGUAGUUUGACUGGGGCGGUCUCCUCCCAAAGCGUAACGGAGGAGCACGAAGGUUAGCUAAUCCUGGUCGGACAUCAGGAGGUUAGUGCAAUGGCAUAAGCUAGCUUGACUGCGAGCGUGACGGCGCGAGCAGGUGCGAAAGCAGGUCAUAGUGAUCCGGUGGUUCUGAAUGGAAGGGCCAUCGCUCAACGGAUAAAAGGUACUCCGGGGAUAACAGGCUGAUACCGCCCAAGAGUUCAUAUCGACGGCGGUGUUUGGCACCUCGAUGUCGGCUCAUCACAUCCUGGGGCUGAAGUAGGUCCCAAGGGUAUGGCUGUUCGCCAUUUAAAGUGGUACGCGAGCUGGGUUUAGAACGUCGUGAGACAGUUCGGUCCCUAUCUGCCGUGGGCGCUGGAGAAUUGAGGGGGGCUGCUCCUAGUACGAGAGGACCGGAGUGGACGCAUCACUGGUGUUCGGGUUGUCAUGCCAAUGGCACUGCCCGGUAGCUAAAUGCGGAAGAGAUAAGUGCUGAAAGCAUCUAAGCACGAAACUUGCCCCGAGAUGAGUUCUCCCUGAGACUUUAAGUCUCCUGAAGGAACGUUAAAGACGAUGACGUUGAUAGGCCGGGUGUGUAAGCGCAGCGAUGCGUUGAGCUAACCGGUACUAAUGAACCGUGAGGCUUAACCUU